GAUGAACGCUGGCUACAGGCUUAACACAUGCAAGUCGAGGGGAAACGCCGGGGAAGCUUGCUUCCCCGGGCGUCGACCGGCGCACGGGUGAGUAACGCGUAUCCAACCUGCCUCUGACUGAGGGAUAACCCGUCGAAAGUCGGCCUAAUACCUCAUGGUAUCGUCUGCGGGCAUCCAACGACGAUUAAAGAUUUCAUCGGUCAGGGAUGGGGAUGCGUCUGAUUAGCUUGUUGGCGGGGUAACGGCCCACCAAGGCUACGAUAAGUAGGGGUUCUGAGAGGAAGGUCCCCCACAGUGGACCUGCGACACGGUCCAAACUCCUACGGGAGGCAGCAGUGGGGAAUAUUGGUCAAUGGGCGAGAGCCUGAACCAGCAAAGUAGUGUGCAGGAAGACGGCCCUAGGGGUUGUAAACUGCUUUUAUGCGGGGAUAAAGUGAGGGACGUGUCCCUCAUUGCAGGUACCGCAUGAAUAAGGACCGGCUAAUUCCGU
This 490-nucleotide ribosomal RNA is filed under the name uncultured bacterium. Its description in RNAcentral is "partial 16S ribosomal RNA". It matches the Rfam family "Bacterial small subunit ribosomal RNA", at positions 28 to 506 of the family's 1533-position model. The record is from RNAcentral.